UACAGAGGGUGCAAGCGUUAAUCGGAAUUACUGGGCGUAGAGCGCGCGUAGGUGGCUGAGUAAGAUGGGUGUGAAAUCCCCGGGCUUAACCUGGGAACUGCAUCCAUAACUGCUCGGCUAGAGUACGGUAGAGGGUAGUGGAAUUUCCUGUGUAGCGGUGAAAUGCGUAGAUAUGGGAAGGAACACCAGUGGCGAAGGCGACCACCUGGGCUAAUACUGACACUGAGGUGCGAAAGCGGGGGGAGCAAACAGG
This 253-nucleotide unclassified non-coding RNA is filed under the name uncultured Pseudomonadaceae bacterium. RNAcentral's name for it is "contains 16S-23S intergenic spacer region". It matches the Rfam family "Bacterial small subunit ribosomal RNA", at positions 524 to 776 of the family's 1533-position model. Lineage: Bacteria; Pseudomonadati; Pseudomonadota; Gammaproteobacteria; Pseudomonadales; Pseudomonadaceae. The record is from RNAcentral.